AGUUGCUGUUGAGUGGCUGGUAUGCCAUUAUAUGUUUUGUAUAUAACAACUUCUAUCAUUUACUUUUGCAGUUUGUCUUUCUUAUUUCAGAGACCAUCAUUUUAUCUUCAGGCCUAAAAUAUUUCCUGUGGUAUUGAAAACAGCAUAGGCUCUAAGCAUUGUGUCUAUAGCGUUCAAUAAUUAAAGGUACCCUGAACAAGGACAUGUAGGAGUGCUAGUUACAAAAUGUGUAAAAUGUUCUCAAUGAAGGGACCAGAAGGAUUUUGUACUCCAGGGGCUGCAAAAUUGAGUCAAUUCAAGGGACAGGAAGAUAAUGUAAAUGAUUCAUAUCAUGAGAAAAGGAUCAACUAUGGCAAACUAGAGAGCAAUACCUAUAUAACCAACCAACCAACCACCUAAAAAUAUGUUUCUAAUCAAUCACAACAUGGCAGAUUGGGCCUGUAGAUUAUUGACCUCUGAUUCCAAGGCUUAAGAAUGUGAUGUGAGUUGCCUGGGGUUUCACAAAAUGUAGCUGCCACAGCCAGAACUCUAGCCCAUGUCUCCUAAGGAUUCAUUCAGUAUGUGCUUCCUCUUACUGCCAUACUUCUCUUUUGUAGGUUGUCCACUUUCCCUAGAAAAGGGGAAGAACUUUGAGGACCUGUUAUGUGCUCCAGACCUGCUUUUAAUCUUCAUCAUAUAUUUGAGAUUGUUGUUAAUAGCCUCAUUCUUCAGAUGAGACAACUGAGAUGCAGCAAUGUUAAGUACAUAGCAGGACUGCCUCUCCUAGCAUCCCUUGCAGCUAGGUGAAGUCAUGUGACUGCAUUCUGGCCAAUGGUGUGUGUGCAUAAAUCUUGCAUAUCCCUUCCAAGCAGACUCCUAAAGCCUCCUUUGAAAUUCUUCAUGCUUUGUUUUUUCCUUUAUCUGUCUCCUGAAUUUUGAGGACCAUCCGAAACCUUUGAAAUCCUAGAAGAUGGCACAGCCACCAGAUGAAAGAAGCCUGAUCCCUAACUAAUGUGUGGAGCUGAGUGGAGGGGAGCAAAAAUGAUGACCCUGGGCUGUGAUGUGAGUGACAAAUAGAAAAAGACUUGUAUUUUUUUAAUACAUUGAAAUGUUAGUCUAUACUAACCCAUAUGAUUGUAUUAGCAAAAGAUAUAGAUAGCAGCAUUAUUUAUAAUACAGGUUGAAUAUUCCUUAUCCAAAAUGCUUGGGAGCAGAAGUGUUUGCAUAUUGGUUCUUUUCAGAUUUGGGAAAAUUGGCAUAUACAUAACGAGAUAGCCUGGGAAUGAGACCCAAGUCUAAAUAUGAAAUUCAUUUAUGUUUCAUAUAAACCUUACACACAGAGUCUGAAGGUAAUUUUUUAUAAUAUUUUAAAUAAUUCAGUGCAUAGAAUAAAUUUUGAUUGUGUUUUGACUGCAACCCAUCACAUGAGGUCAGGUGUGGAAUUUUACACUUGUGACAUCGUGUCAGCACUAAAAAUGUUUCAGAUUUUGAAGCAUUGCAAAUUCUGGACUUUUGAAUUAGGGAUGCUCAAUCUGUAAUAAAAAAGCAUCAACUACCAUUUGGUAAAGACAAACUACCAAAGAGAAUUUUAGUAAAGAGUAUGAAUUAUUCAUAAUGUAAUCCAUUCAUGAAAAGCAAUUGUUGUGAACAUUAUGUUGUAAUAUAAAAAAAGCUAACAUUUUGAUGUAAAAAUCAGACUGUUGUAGAUGCAUUCUUAUAUAAUUCUUAUUCAUAAGCUAAAAAUGCUUGUAAUAUUAAAACACAGGAAGUAAAUACAUCACAAUGUCAACUACAGUUGUGUUAAAACAUAUAGAUUGAGG
Molecule: long non-coding RNA, 1799 nt
Filed under: Homo sapiens (human)
Lineage: Eukaryota; Metazoa; Chordata; Mammalia; Primates; Hominidae
Description: HSALNT0242831
Source: RNAcentral